UGAUUCUCAUGCUCAAAGUACCCUUAAUAUACAAGGGGGAUCACUUGUAGGUAAUUUUGCAUAUAAUCAUGAAAAUCAAAGAAAAGCACUUGUAAAAUGGAUAGUUAAGGAUGAAUUACCUUUUAGUUUAUGUGAAUCUUUUAAUUUUGAAAAAUAUGUUCAAUUAAACCCUACAACCUGCUUACAAAAGAACUAGUAGGCGUACAUUUAGAAGAGUAGCUAUGACUAACUUUUUAGCAAUGAGACAAACUUUAAUUGAAACACUUUCUACUUUAAAAGUAAAAAUUUCAUUAACUUCUGAUAUUUGGUCAGCAUCUGUAGGUAGUAAUUGUUUUAUUGCCAUUACUGCUCAUUAUAUUGAUAUUGAUUGCAAUUAAAUAAACGUAUUCUUGCUUUUCGUGCUUUUGAUUUUCCACAUUCUGGGCAACAAAUUUCAAAUGUCAUUUAUCAAACUGUAUGUUCAUAUAAU
RNAcentral lists this long non-coding RNA (469 nucleotides) under Phoenix dactylifera (date palm). Its description in RNAcentral is "long non-coding RNA (PDAC_LNC004521)". Lineage: Eukaryota; Viridiplantae; Streptophyta; Magnoliopsida; Arecales; Arecaceae. The record is from RNAcentral.